GACGUAGGGCGCGAGCGUUGUCCGGAUUUAUUGGGCGUAAAGAGCUCGUAGGCGGCUUGUUGCGUCGACCGUGAAAACCCGGGGCUCAACUUCGGGCUUGCGGUCGAUACGGGCGGGCUAGAGUUCGGUAGGGGAGACUGGAAUUCCUGGUGUAGCGGUGAAGUGCGCAGAUAUCAGGAGGAACACCGGUGGCGAAGGCGGGUCUCUGGGCCGAUACUGACGCUGAGGAGCGAAAGCGUGGGGAGCGAACAGG
RNAcentral lists this ribosomal RNA (253 nucleotides) under uncultured bacterium. RNAcentral's name for it is "partial 16S ribosomal RNA". It matches the Rfam family "Bacterial small subunit ribosomal RNA", at positions 524 to 776 of the family's 1533-position model. The record is from RNAcentral.